CCUACGGGAGGCAGCAGUGGGGAAUAUUGCACAAUGGGGGAAACCCUGAUGCAGCGACGCCGCGUGAGUGAAGAAGUAUUUCGGUAUGUAAAGCUCUAUCAGCAGGGAAGAAAAUGACGGUACCUGACUAAGAAGCCCCGGCUAACUACGUGCCAGCAGCCGCGGUAAUACGUAGGGGGCAAGCGUUAUCCGGAUUUACUGGGUGUAAAGGGAGCGUAGGUGGCAUGGUAAGCCAGAAGUGAAAACCCGGGGCUCAACCCCGCGGAUUGCUUUUGGAACUAUCAGGCUGGAGUGCUGGAGGGGUAAGCGGAAUUCCUAGUGUAGCGGUGAAAUGCGUAGAUAUUAGGAGGAACACCGGUGGCGAAGGCGGCUUACUGGACAGAAACUGACACUGAGGCUCGAAAGCGUGGGGAGCAAACAGGAUUAGAUACCCCAGUAGUC
This 441-nucleotide ribosomal RNA is filed under the name uncultured bacterium. Its description in RNAcentral is "partial 16S ribosomal RNA". It matches the Rfam family "Bacterial small subunit ribosomal RNA", at positions 338 to 795 of the family's 1533-position model. The record is from RNAcentral.